This 516-nucleotide unclassified non-coding RNA is filed under the name Hevea brasiliensis (rubber tree). The record is from RNAcentral. Lineage: Eukaryota; Viridiplantae; Streptophyta; Magnoliopsida; Malpighiales; Euphorbiaceae.
GAGAGAGAGAGAGAGAGAGGAAACAACCGCCCAAGUGAAUUGCUAUAGAAAGAUAUGACAACGAGAAGUCUGAGCAGCUGUAGUAUCAGUGCAUGUUUAAUGACCAAAGUUCGUAUUACUAAGGGCCUGUUUUGUUACUCAAAACUCGAAAGGGUAAUGUAUACAUGGGGCAUUGUUCUCUCAAUGAAAAAUUCAGGAUAAAUUUUAAGUUUAUGGAUUUUGGAAUACAAAUGGAAAAUAAGUGAAGGGCAUGACGUAUAUUAAUUAUGGUUGAAAUCUUAUAUUGCGUUCGAGGUGAUAAGCUUGAGGUGCAAGUUGCAAACCAAAGCAAAAAUCAGAUCAAAAGCACAUGCCAUGUCCUCCUCACCUAAACAUGGCCAUAUUGGGUGUGGAAUAACCAUGAUUCUAUCUAUGAAGUAUUUCAAAAGGGAAGAUAUAAACAGAUUAUCAACAGUUCUAUAAUUGGUUAAUUUAAACUCGUGUUUCUUUGGAACAUUAAAAUUGAUUCAAAUUCAU